Molecule: transfer RNA, 72 nt
Filed under: Microscilla marina ATCC 23134
Lineage: Bacteria; Pseudomonadati; Bacteroidota; Cytophagia; Cytophagales; Microscillaceae
Rfam family: tRNA
About the family: Transfer RNA (tRNA) molecules are approximately 80 nucleotides in length. Their secondary structure includes four short double-helical elements and three loops (D, anti-codon, and T loops). Further hydrogen bonds mediate the characteristic L-shaped molecular structure. tRNAs have two regions of fundamental functional importance: the anti-codon, which is responsible for specific mRNA codon recognition, and the 3' end, to which the tRNAs corresponding amino acid is attached (by aminoacyl-tRNA synthetases). tRNAs cope with the degeneracy of the genetic code in two manners: having more than one tRNA (with a specific anti-codon) for a particular amino acid; and 'wobble' base-pairing, i.e. permitting non-standard base-pairing at the 3rd anti-codon position.
Source: Rfam by way of RNAcentral
UGCGAGUUAGCUUAAGGGGAGAGCGCUUGACUCAUAAUCAAGUAAGUGUGGGUUCGAAUCCCAUGCUCGCUA